This 953-nucleotide ribosomal RNA is filed under the name Bacillus velezensis. Its description in RNAcentral is "bacterial SSU rRNA". It matches the Rfam family "Bacterial small subunit ribosomal RNA", at positions 35 to 973 of the family's 1533-position model. Lineage: Bacteria; Bacillati; Bacillota; Bacilli; Caryophanales; Bacillaceae. The record is from RNAcentral.
AUGGGCGGCAUGCUAUAAUGCAGUCGAGCGGACAGAUGGGAGCUUGCUCCCUGAUGUUAGCGGCGGACGGGUGAGUAACACGUGGGUAACCUGCCUGUAAGACUGGGAUAACUCCGGGAAACCGGGGCUAAUACCGGAUGGUUGUUUGAACCGCAUGGUUCAGACAUAAAAGGUGGCUUCGGCUACCACUUACAGAUGGACCCGCGGCGCAUUAGCUAGUUGGUGAGGUAACGGCUCACCAAGGCGACGAUGCGUAGCCGACCUGAGAGGGUGAUCGGCCACACUGGGACUGAGACACGGCCCAGACUCCUACGGGAGGCAGCAGUAGGGAAUCUUCCGCAAUGGACGAAAGUCUGACGGAGCAACGCCGCGUGAGUGAUGAAGGUUUUCGGAUCGUAAAGCUCUGUUGUUAGGGAAGAACAAGUGCCGUUCAAAUAGGGCGGCACCUUGACGGUACCUAACCAGAAAGCCACGGCUAACUACGUGCCAGCAGCCGCGGUAAUACGUAGGUGGCAAGCGUUGUCCGGAAUUAUUGGGCGUAAAGGGCUCGCAGGCGGUUUCUUAAGUCUGAUGUGAAAGCCCCCGGCUCAACCGGGGAGGGUCAUUGGAAACUGGGGAACUUGAGUGCAGAAGAGGAGAGUGGAAUUCCACGUGUAGCGGUGAAAUGCGUAGAGAUGUGGAGGAACACCAGUGGCGAAGGCGACUCUCUGGUCUGUAACUGACGCUGAGGAGCGAAAGCGUGGGGAGCGAACAGGAUUAGAUACCCUGGUAGUCCACGCCGUAAACGAUGAGUGCUAAGUGUUAGGGGGUUUCCGCCCCUUAGUGCUGCAGCUAACGCAUUAAGCACUCCGCCUGGGGAGUACGGUCGCAAGACUGAAACUCAAAGGAAUUGACGGGGGCCCGCACAAGCGGUGGAGCAUGUGGUUUAAUUCGAAGCAACGCGAAGAACCUUA